RNAcentral lists this ribosomal RNA (253 nucleotides) under uncultured bacterium. RNAcentral describes it as "partial 16S ribosomal RNA". It matches the Rfam family "Bacterial small subunit ribosomal RNA", at positions 524 to 776 of the family's 1533-position model. The record is from RNAcentral.
UACGUAGGGGGCAAGCGUUGUCCGGAUUUAUUGGGCGUAAAGAGCGUGUAGGCGGCCUUACAGGUCAGCUGUGAAAACUCGAGGCUCAACCUCGAGACGUCGGUUGAAACCGUAUGGCUAGAGUCCGGAAGAGGAGAGUGGAAUUCCUGGUGUAGCGGUGAAAUGCGCAGAUAUCAGGAGGAACACCGAUUGCGAAGGCAGCUCGCUGGGACGUUACUGACGCUGAGACGCGAAAGCGUGGGGAGCAAACAGG